CUGAUCCAGCAAUGCCGCGUGUGUGAGAAGGCCUUCGGGUUGUAAAGCACUUUUGUCCGGAAAGAAAUCCUUGGCUCUAAUACAGUCGGGGGAUGACGGUACCGGAAGAAUAAGCACCGGCUAACUACGUGCCAGCAGCCGCGGUAAUACGUAGGGUGCGAGCGUUAAUCGGAAUUACUGGGCGUAAAGCGUGCGCAGGCGGUUUGCUAAGACCGAUGUGAAAUCCCCGGGCUCAACCUGGGAACUGCAUUGGUGACUGGCAGGCUAGAGUAUGGCAGAGGGGGGUAGAAUUCCACGUGUAGCAGUGAAAUGCGUAGAGAUGUGGAGGAAUACCGAUGGCGAAGGCAGCCCCCUGGGCCAAUACUGACGCUCAUGCACGAAAGCGUGGGGAGCAAACAGGAUUAGAUACCCCUGUAGUCAA
This 421-nucleotide ribosomal RNA is filed under the name Burkholderia sp. TK2-F1-8. Its description in RNAcentral is "bacterial SSU rRNA". It matches the Rfam family "Bacterial small subunit ribosomal RNA", at positions 383 to 797 of the family's 1533-position model. The record is from RNAcentral. Lineage: Bacteria; Pseudomonadati; Pseudomonadota; Betaproteobacteria; Burkholderiales; Burkholderiaceae.